ACGGAAGGCAGCAGUGAGGAAUAUUGGUCAAUGGUCGGAAGAUUGAACCAGCCAAGUCGCGUGCAGGAAGACGGUCCUAUGGAUUGUAAACUGCUUUUGUACGGGAAUAAAGUGCAGGACGUGUCCUGUUUGGAAUGUACCGUAAGAAUAAGGGUCGGCUAACUCCGUGCCAGCAGCCGCGGUAAUACGGAGGACCCGAGCGUUAUCCGGAUUUAUUGGGUUUAAAGGGUGCGCAGGCGGAGGAUUAAGUCAGCGGUGAAAUUUUCAUGCUCAACAUGAAAACUGCCAUUGAUACUGGUCCCCUUGAGAGAUGUCGAGGAUGGCGGAAUGUGAUGUGUAGCGGUGAAAUGCUUUGAUAUGUCACAGAACACCGAUUGCGAAGGCAGCUGUCCAGAGAUCAUCUGACGCUCAGGCACGAAAGCAUGGGUAUCAAACAGGAUUAGGUACCCUGGUA
This 454-nucleotide ribosomal RNA is filed under the name uncultured Cytophaga sp. Its description in RNAcentral is "partial 16S ribosomal RNA". It matches the Rfam family "Bacterial small subunit ribosomal RNA", at positions 341 to 792 of the family's 1533-position model. The record is from RNAcentral. Lineage: Bacteria; Pseudomonadati; Bacteroidota; Cytophagia; Cytophagales; Cytophagaceae.